RNAcentral lists this unclassified non-coding RNA (1501 nucleotides) under Leishmania donovani. RNAcentral describes it as "gene:LdHU3.23.0770(CDS-product:hypothetical_prote in_conserved)". Lineage: Eukaryota; Euglenozoa; Kinetoplastea; Trypanosomatida; Trypanosomatidae. The record is from RNAcentral.
CUGGCACCUACACACACGCAACCUCUCAGAAAAGGAACGCAGCGCAUCAUCACUCGGCGCCCUGGCAUAUCGACAAACCAUAUACACCCUACCCCCACGCCUCAGCUCCACAGACAUCCCUUCUUGUCCUGCUCCGUUCGCAGCCGUGCAAGCACGGACACACCAUCACCCCUACCUCCUACCUACACUAUUAUGCCCAUGAACAAGCCCGCCUUCACCACAAAUGAAGCCCGCGUGGAGCGACUGCAGGCGAACUACGACGAAGGGCUGCUACGCGAGAGUAUGCCAACGGCCGACCGCGAGAAGCGCGACCUGCAGCUUCUCUGUGUGUCCCACGAUAAGCUGAUGUUCCUGUUCCAGAACGCCAUGGAGGGCUACAGCAGGAGUUUGAAGAACCAGAAGGUGAAGGAGUACAACGAGGCUUACAUCAAAACCACCUCGCUACCGUCCAAGGACCACGGCUGCAAGUCGCGCUUCCCCUUCCUAUAAAAUGGAUAUAGCACACAAAAACAAGGCGCAAGGGACGGUGCUAUCGGGAGCUGUGGCACAGGUGUCCCUUGUGGGUCGAAUGGGAUAUCGGGAGCGGACGAGCAUGCGCAAGAGAUGGAAGGUCUGGUAUGCUGCGCGUAUCGUGUGUGUGAGAGGUGCGCACGUCACAAAGAUGGAGUCGAACGUGGAUGCAGUGCGCUGUAGGUCCACGUCACUUCUCACCCCUCCCCUCACAACCACAACCACAACCACCACUGCGACGCACACACCGCAGGCGCCCUCCAGCGUCCUUUCCUUCCUCCACGUCGGCCAUUACCGCGGGGCGCAAGAGCCACAAAAGCCUCGACAAACAUGCCCCUCUCGUCUCUCGCCGUGGCUUCCUUUCAUCCCCGUUCCUCGCCUUCUGCACCCAGCGUGUGAUGCCGCGCGUGUGUACGCUGUGCCUAAUGGUGAAGAGGCAGGAAGAACGAGAACGAAGUCAUCCAUGUUGAUGGCACUCGACCCCGUCCACCGCUGCUUCGUGUCUAACCGACGUCUCUUCGCGCGCUUCUCGGUGGUGGCACGCUAUAUAUAUAUAUAUUCCUGUAUUCUAUGUACGGGCUACGGGUGGCUCGUCAGCAUCCGCGUCAGGAGUCCGUCAGCGUGGUCGGGGCGGGGCCACGAAAGGGUAGAAAGAGAAAAGGUAUGAUACGCCUGUGGCGGAUCGCACAUUGACAAACGUGUGUGUGUGUGUGUGUGUGUGUGUGUGUGUGGUGGUCCGUGGAGGUGCGAGUCACCUCUUCACGCUCCUACUGUGGGUCUUCACAAACUGUGUUUUUUUUCUUCUUUCCUUUUCUGUCGGCGCAUGUGCGGAUGUCCGUUCUUUGCGGUGCUUCGCUGCAGCCGUGAGUGGUGCGCUGUGUCGCCGAGGCUGGGGCGGCAAAGUAAAAGAGCGCACCCGCAUGUGCGUGUUUGAGCGAGAAAACAGAGAAGGCGCAAGCAAAAGGUCGGAAUGGGCGCGAUCGAGGCAACG